This 363-nucleotide long non-coding RNA is filed under the name Nicotiana tabacum (common tobacco). RNAcentral describes it as "long non-coding RNA (NTAB_LNC011535)". The record is from RNAcentral. Lineage: Eukaryota; Viridiplantae; Streptophyta; Magnoliopsida; Solanales; Solanaceae.
AAACAAAAAUAUAACCUAAAAGACCCAAACUAGGAAGUGCGUCUCCUAGGGGCGAAACUUCAAUAACUCAAACUAGGAAGUGCGUCUCCGAGGGAUGAAUUUAAAUGACCAAAGCUAGGAAGUGCGUCUCCUAACAAGUAUAAUCUGAAAGACCCCUACUAGGAAGUGCGUCUCCUAAUGGGUAAAACUUCAAUGACUCCAACUAGGACGUGUGUCUCCUAGGGAUGAAUUUAAAUGACCCGCAUUAGGAAGUGUGUCUCCUAAAAUAAAAAUAUAACUUGAAAUACCCAGACUAGGAAGUGCAUCUCCUAAGGGUAAAAUCUCAAUUUAGGAAGUGCGUCUCCUAAAACAAAACAUAACUUG